Molecule: long non-coding RNA, 1887 nt
Filed under: Homo sapiens (human)
Lineage: Eukaryota; Metazoa; Chordata; Mammalia; Primates; Hominidae
Description: non-protein coding lnc-GGCT-1:13
Source: RNAcentral
UUUAAAAAUGUUUGGUUCACAGCCUUCACUGGAUUACCUAUUGGAGCAAACAAAGUGUAACCAUGUAAAACCUGUGAGCUUGUAUUGAUAUCUCAUGGCUAGAGUUCCAAGCGAAUGGGUCUCAUGAGAUCUGAUGGUUUUGAAAAUGGGAGUUGCCCUGCACAAGCUCUCCUUUUGCCUGCUGCCAUCCACAUAAGAUGUGAUUUGCUCUUCCUUGCCUUCCACCAUGAUUGUGAGGCCUUCCCAGCAUGUGGAAAUUUGCAGGAAUUUAGCCAAUUCAGAGGUCUUGUUCUCCAUAAUUUGGAAUUUUCCUUCGGAUUUGAUCAAGUUGGAUAGAGUUGGUCAAACCCAAUGGGAAAAAGAUGAAAACAACAAGAAACAGAAACAAACAGCAACAACAACAACAACAAAAACAAUGCAUUUAAUUAAAUGAAGAUGAGCUCAUGCUGGAGUAGGGUGGACUCUGAACCCAGUGGGACAAGCGUCCUUAUUAAGAAGAGGGAAAUCUGGACACACACAGAGCAGAGACCGCCGUGUGAAGAUGGAGGCAGAGAUCGGAGAGAUGCUGCCACACGCCACAAAUGCCUGGGGCUCCCAGAAACUACACGGAGCCUCCCCCAGCGGCUUCAGCAGGAGCAUGGCUCGGCCAACACUUUGAUCUUGGUCUUCCAGCCUCCAGAACGUUUUCCUAAAAUUCCCUUUUCCACUGGUGUGUGGUGCAAGAUGAGGCACAUUUUCCAUGGAUGGUGAACAGAGGGAGGAGCCUUUUGAUCACAACCAGGUCACCCCACUUCUAAGCCACUGUGCCUCCAGCCCCACAAGACUAAGGAGAGAGAGCGCAGCGUGGUGGAGAGUGAGCUGUGCUGGGACCAUUGUUUCCGUAACCUCGUUUUCUGUGUCCAGCUGACACACCUUCAAAGUGGCAUCAGGUCCUAAACUGUAGCUUGCAAUGUGCCUGUUUCCAGAAACCAAGGUGAAAGUGCUUUUAGACAGUGUUCCCAUGCAAGAGUCCCUUCCCAGCUUUUUUCUGGAAAUGCAUGUUUCUCUGAACUCUGAGUCCCAAGAAAAAUCACUUGAGACACCAAGAAAAUGGGGGAAGUGCUAAAAUUGUGUGGGAAUUCAAGCUUAACAAUAAACAUCAAGACAUUUUUGAUAAAAAUGAAUCCACUGACAUCGGGGAGGAGCAAGAGAACAGCACGCUGACACUGGGUCAGAGGCUAAGACCGACAUUUCUGGGAACCACUCCCGGAAGGGCACAGAGGAGACGCUUUCAGCCUCUCAUCAGCCAGCCUGGCCUGUAGCUGCUGCACGUUAUGAGUGUGUUCCUGGCAUGACUGCUUCUAACAGCGACCAUUUCAUUAAGUUUUUAAGUGCCUGGUAAUUGCUUGGUUAUGACCGGUGUCUGCUCCAUGGCAGCCUCUUCCUGAAGAAAUGCUGAGGCAGUGUCACGCUGGUGUCUGUCCUCCUUACAGAAUGCCUGAACAGUUCCAUUGACUCAAAGUGAAGAUCAAAAGAACCAAAUGACAGCAAUAGCCAAGUGUAAUCAUCAGUAACCCUGUGUUCUAUCCACAGGUAAAAAACAAUCAUCCUCUUCAUUAUGGGUUUCAAUUUUAAAUGUAAUACAUUUUUAGAAAUGCCUAUUUCCUUUUAUAAUCUCUUUAUAUAAUCUAGGUUAUUCUGGCUCUUAGGUCUUCAUUUAGCUACUGAAAAGAUUUGAUCUCAAAUCAAUGAUCUAACCACCCAUGACCAUCUCCCACCUCUCUCCCCGUACACCCCCCAGCAUGAAUUCUGGGAACUCAGGUAAAAUGCUUUCUGGAAACCUGCCUGUAUUAGUCUGUUGUCAAGCUGCUAAUAAACACAUACCCGAAACUGGGUAGUUUAUAAAGG